GUCCCCAACUGUAUUCGUGGAGGAUUUAGUGAAAUUACUAUUAUAUUUAUGACGAAACUGCAAUCCUUUUGAGGAUUUCGUCAUGGCUGGCAGCUUUCCUUUGAAAAGACAAACACUGAGCCUUUACAAAAAAAUAUUGCAAAAAUGUGCAAGAGCCUCAAGCCAUCAAAGAUCAUCUUCAAGAAGCAGAAGCAAGACUUGAAAUGGCCCUGCACUACAGAAACCCUUAUCCACGGCCAGUUAAUUUGCCACCAAAAACGGUCACUGUUCGACCUG
Long non-coding RNA from Daphnia carinata, 276 nucleotides. RefSeq lists it as uncharacterized. Lineage: Eukaryota; Metazoa; Arthropoda; Branchiopoda; Diplostraca; Daphniidae. The transcript is spliced from 4 exons. The record is from RefSeq and is a predicted model, not a curated record.